Molecule: ribosomal RNA, 668 nt
Filed under: uncultured bacterium
Lineage: Bacteria
Description: bacterial SSU rRNA
Rfam family: Bacterial small subunit ribosomal RNA
Source: RNAcentral
GUGAGUAACGCGUGGGCAACCUGCCCCAAAGCUCGGGAUAACACUCCGAAAGGAGUGCUAAUACCGGAUGUAGUUGCGGUACUGCAUGGUACUGCAAAAAAAGGAGAAAUCCACUUUGGGAUGGGCCCGCGUCUGAUUAGCUAGUUGGUGGGGUGACGGCCUACCAAGGCGACGAUCAGUAGCCGACCUGAGAGGGUGAUCGGCCACACUGGGACUGAGACACGGCCCAGACUCCUACGGGAGGCAGCAGUCGGGAAUAUUGGUCAAUGGGGGAAACCCUGAACCAGCAAUGCCGCGUGAGUGACGAAGGUUUUCGGAUCGUAAAGCUCUGUCUUUGGGGACGAAUAAAUGACGGUACCCGAGGAGGAAGCCCCGGCUAACUACGUGCCAGCAGCCGCGGUAAUACGUAGGGGGCGAGCGUUGUCCGGAAUUACUGGGCGUAAAGGGCGAGUAGGCGGUUUAAUAAGUCAGAUGUGAAAUGCCAGGGCUCAACCCUGGAACUGCAUUUGAAACUAUUAGACUUGAGUGCAGGAGAGGAAAGUGGAAUUCCCAGUGUAGCGGUGAAAUGCGUAGAUAUUGGGAGGAACACCAGUGGCGAAGGCGACUUUCUGGACUGUAACUGACGCUGAGGCGCGAAAGCGUGGGGAGCAAACAGGAUUAGAUACCCU